Molecule: RNA transcript, 1521 nt
Organism: Zea mays
Lineage: Eukaryota; Viridiplantae; Streptophyta; Magnoliopsida; Poales; Poaceae
Gene name: protein-like pseudogene
Exons: 6
Source: RefSeq, marked validated
CUCCAAUGCCAGCGCAUCCCUCUUCCCCCUCGUGGCUCGCGGUCGCCGCUGGCGUUCCUGCUCCGGGCCUUCCACAUGGUGAUGGGCGACCUGAGCACCUCCGACGACCUCGCCACGCGCCACCACCUCACCCACCGUCCACCCAUCACCUUUCCUGUAAACCUCGGCGACCUCCUCCUCAAUCUCAUGAUGUUGUCCUGCAAGUCUCCCCCGAGCCCUCUCCUCAAGCCCUACCACGCCCAGCUAGGCCACAACAGCGCCAAGAUCUAGGCCAUGUCUCCAACUUAGCAACUUAUUGCAGCACAACACGAGAUCUGGAUGGUCUGCAUCGUUGCCACCGUGGCGCGCACCGAGCAGGAGGACGAGGUGCCAGCCCUGACCGACCAGGCGGCCCACAUAGAGGUGCGCACACGGAGGUUUACUAGGUCGACGACUACGUCUAGGUGUUCGUCGUGGCGUGUACUGACCUCAUCAACCGGCUCCAGGGCCUACGCGAGAACCUCACGAACGUGAGGUCUGAGGUGUCUUCAGCUAGGCCCUGCAGAGCAUCCUUGUUUUCUCACGUUGCCAUAUUCAGGCCAAGUACAUCCUUAAUCUCGUGUUACUUAGCCCCAAACAAGCAAGUACAACCACUAUGACAGAGGCUGUUAUGGGAGUUCUGACCAGCAAGCUUGGUGUGGCCUUAGCAAAAGGGGCAGCAGCCUAUGGUGCAUCUCUGGAUUUCAAGGAAGCGUCUACUCAAUGAUUUUUUAAAUAUCUCCUGCAUUCACAUAGCCUCAGCCUCACAUGUAUGUGGCCUUGAACAGAAUUGAUGGAUAAUCACUAUUCAAGCACUCUGCUCCACAGUAUCUUGUCUUGGCACCUUAACAUAUGACGACACUAAUUGAAGAACAACAAAUUUUGACUGAAGACGUUGACGUGGAAUCUUCUGUGCCAAUAGGAGCAAAUAAACAAACAGGUUCGUUUUCUGGAGUGGCCUGAUGAUUUGGAGGGUUUUGUUCUAAAAGGCUAUGGUGAGUCUGUCAUUGCUCAAGGAUGUUGUCCAGUCAAUGGAAGAAACAAUCAAUAGCUAGAGAAGGCCACACUACAAAACAUCAUUGAGCGCAGAAACACGACAUGGUGCUAGGUCACAAGGUGAUGAAGACAUCCACACUACUGAUGCAUCUAUACCAAUACAAGUACCAAUUUCUGGUCCCAUUACUCGCGCUCGUGCUCGUCAACUCAACCAUCAGGUGAUUACACUCUUGAGUUCAUGUCCAUCAUAUUUAGACCAUGGAGACCCGUGCACUCUUGUUUUGCUUAGGAAUCAGGGAGAAGACCGAAAGGGAAAAGGAUUUGAACAUGCUGGAUUCGGACUGCAGAAGAACACCAACUUGUGACGGUCACCACGGUCAGAUGCGGGCUCGGAUUGGAAUGUUCAAGCACAACAUGGAAAGCUUAUCAAGUCUACUUUCAUAUGGAUCCGGAAUUAUAGUCAUAUCUGUUCUGAGGCCGCCGUAAUCAUUGUUUUCUUACCGAGAC